RNAcentral lists this ribosomal RNA (492 nucleotides) under uncultured bacterium. Its description in RNAcentral is "bacterial SSU rRNA". It matches the Rfam family "Bacterial small subunit ribosomal RNA", at positions 8 to 518 of the family's 1533-position model. The record is from RNAcentral.
AGAGUUGAUCCUGGCUUAGGACGAACGCUGGCGGCGUGCCUAACACAUGCAAGUCGAGCGAGGAGAUCCUUCGGGAUGAUCCUAGCGGCGGACGGGUGAGUAACACGUGGGCAACCUGCCUCAUAGAGAGGAAUAGCCUUCCGAAAGGGAGAUUAAUACCUCAUAACAUUGCAGUUUCGCAUGGAACAGCAAUUAAAGGAGCAAUCCACUAUGAGAUGGGCCCGCGGCGCAUUAGCUAGUUGGUGAGGUAACGGCUCACCAAGGCGACGAUGCGUAGCCGACCUGAGAGGGUGAUCGGCCACAUUGGGACUGAGACACGGCCCAGACUCCUACGGGAGGCAGCAGUGGGGAAUAUUGCACAAUGGGGGAAACCCUGAUGCAAGCAACGCCGCGUGAGUGAUGACGGCCUUCGGGUUGUAAAGCUCUGUCUUCAGGGACGAUAAUGACGGUACCUGAGGAGGAAGCCACGGCUAACUACGUGCCAGCAGCGGC